Long non-coding RNA from Limulus polyphemus (Atlantic horseshoe crab), 355 nucleotides. RefSeq lists it as uncharacterized. The transcript is spliced from 2 exons. The record is from RefSeq and is a predicted model, not a curated record. NCBI's taxonomy places the organism in Eukaryota, Metazoa, Arthropoda, Merostomata, Xiphosura, Limulidae.
CUAACAUUAUAAAAAUUGUGAGGGAAACAUUUAAUAUUGUCGUGUCACAAAUUAGAAGUAACUUGCGUUUAAUCAACUCAAGUUAAACAGUUUAGCCUACUAUUACUUUAUAUACAUAUAAGCACACUAAAGUAAUGUUUUAUACUGAAAGACCUGUGGUUUAGAUUAUGUCACCGAAAUAAAAGUACUCUAUUUCUCAGUGUAACUUAAAACUGCGAGUUUAGUAAUACGAUUCUAGGAAUUAUGUCCCUUCCAGCAGAAAAGCCUAAGCCCUUAUUCAGGAAUUUAGAAGCUGAUGACCCUAAACCCGAGAUUCUUGAACUUGAGAGCCUUUGUAUAAGAUGUGAAAAAAAUG